AUUGAACGCUGGCGGCAGGCCUAACACAUGCAAGUCGAGCGGAUGAAGGGAGCUUGCUCCUGGAUUCAGCGGCGGACGGGUGAGUAAUGCCUAGGAAUCUGCCUGGUAGUGGGGGAUAACGUCCGGAAACGGGCGCUAAUACCGCAUACGUCCUGAGGGAGAAAGUGGGGGAUCUUCGGACCUCACGCUAUCAGAUGAGCCUAGGUCGGAUUAGCUAGUUGGUGGGGUAAAGGCCUACCAAGGCGACGAUCCGUAGCUGGUCUGAGAGGAUGAUCAGUCACACUGGAACUGAGACACGGUCCAGACUCCUACGGGAGGCAGCAGUGGGGAAUAUUGGACAAUGGGCGAAAGCCUGAUCCAGCCAUGCCGCGUGUGUGAAGAAGGUCUUCGGAUUGUAAAGCACUUUAAGUUGGGAGGAAGGGCAGUAAGUUAAGACCUGGCUGUUUUGACGUUACCAACAGAAUAAGCACCGGCUAAUUUCGU
RNAcentral lists this ribosomal RNA (483 nucleotides) under uncultured bacterium. RNAcentral's name for it is "partial 16S ribosomal RNA". It matches the Rfam family "Bacterial small subunit ribosomal RNA", at positions 30 to 506 of the family's 1533-position model. The record is from RNAcentral.